This 274-nucleotide ribosomal RNA is filed under the name uncultured bacterium. RNAcentral describes it as "partial 16S ribosomal RNA". It matches the Rfam family "Bacterial small subunit ribosomal RNA", at positions 523 to 796 of the family's 1533-position model. The record is from RNAcentral.
CUACGGAGGGUGCAAGCGUUAUUCGGAAUCACUGGGCGUAAAGGACGCGUAGGCGGGUUGGCAAGUCAGAUGUGAAAUCCUACAGCUUAACUGUAGAACUGCAUUUGAAACUGCUAACCUAGAGUAUGGGAGGGGGAGAUGGAAUUAGUGGUGUAGGGGUAAAAUCCGUAGAUAUCACUAGGAAUACCGAAAGCGAAGGCGAUCUCCUGGAACAUAACUGACGCUAGGGCGUGAAAGCGUGGGGAGCAAACGGGAUUAGAUACCCGUGUAGUCC